GAUGAACGCUGGCGGCGUGCUUAACACAUGCAAGUCGAACGGGAUCCGGGCAGCUUGCUGCCUGGUGAGAGUGGCGAACGGGUGAGUAAUGCGUGACCAACCUGCCCCAUGCUUCGGAAUAGCUCCUGGAAACGGGUGGUAAUGCCGGAUGCUCCGCACCGUCGCAUGAUGGUGUGGGAAAGGGUUUACCGGCAUGGGAUGGGGUCGCGUCCUAUCAGCUUGUUGGCGGGGUGAUGGCCUGCCAAGGCUUCGACGGGUAGCCGGCCUGAGAGGGCGACCGGCCACAUUGGGACUGAGAUACGGCCCAGACUCCUACGGGAGGCAGCAGUGGGGAAUAUUGCACAAUGGGCGAAAGCCUGAUGCAGCGACGCCGCGUGCGGGAUGACGGCCUUCGGGUUGUAAACCGCUUUUGAUUGGGAGCAAGCGAGAGUGAGUGUACCUUUCGAAUAAGCACCGGCUAACUACGUGCCAGCAGCCGCGGUAAUACGUAGGGUGCAAGCGUUAUCCGGAUUUAUUGGGCGUAAAGAGCUCGUAGGCGGUUCGUCGCGUCUGGCGUGAAAGUCCAUCGCUUAACGGUGGAUCGGCGCCGGGUACGGGCGGACUGGAGUGCGGUAGGGGAGACUGGAAUUCCCGGUGUAACGGUGGAAUGUGUAGAUAUCGGGAAGAACACCGAUGGCGAAGGCAGGUCUCUGGGCCGUCACUGACGCUGGGGAGCGAAAGCGUGGGGAGCGAACAGGAUUAGAUACCCUGGUAGUCCACGCCGUAAA
RNAcentral lists this ribosomal RNA (767 nucleotides) under uncultured bacterium. RNAcentral describes it as "bacterial SSU rRNA". It matches the Rfam family "Bacterial small subunit ribosomal RNA", at positions 28 to 806 of the family's 1533-position model. The record is from RNAcentral.